This 541-nucleotide long non-coding RNA is filed under the name Struthio camelus australis. RNAcentral describes it as "lncRNA (ENSSCUG00000003058.1)". The record is from RNAcentral. Lineage: Eukaryota; Metazoa; Chordata; Aves; Struthioniformes; Struthionidae.
AGCGCCCCGGCGCGCCCCCGCCGGCCCCAAGACCCGCUCGGCAGAGAAAAAACCGCCAGGAGGAAAAGUAGGUAUCUUCAGAGCAUGCCACUUUUCCGUGUGCUUUUCACCUACGCAGUAAUAAUAGCAACAGCACUUAUUAUUGCUAUUAUUAUUAUUAUUAUUAUUAUAAACAGUAUAAUAAUUUUUUCUAGUUUUUGUAGCGGUCUUGAUGAGUAUUCUGUGCUUUUAAAUUUUUUCUUUUUUUUUUUAACCCUUUGCUUUGAGCUUCAGGUUUACAGCAGCUCCUCAUGUGUAGCUGAGACAAUGCCAAGGAGUAACUACCCCCAUCCGUCCGUAUCUGCAGCAGAGCAAAUGUGGUAUAAAUGGGACAGAAGCCGACGGGAGAAGGUGUGCGAUAGAUGACAACAUGGUAAGAACAGCAGAUGGACUAGAACAGGACCCUGUGCAUGCAAUUUUUUCUUCUAAUGAAAAGAAAAACCCUAUAAGGGAAGAUGGCCUCUGGAAUAAAAGAAGGUAAACAAGGAAUGUGUUAUGGAAA